RNAcentral lists this ribosomal RNA (471 nucleotides) under uncultured bacterium. RNAcentral describes it as "bacterial SSU rRNA". It matches the Rfam family "Bacterial small subunit ribosomal RNA", at positions 335 to 799 of the family's 1533-position model. The record is from RNAcentral.
ACUCCUACGGGAGGCAGCAGUGGGGAAUAUUGCACAAUGGGCGCAAGCCUGAUGCAGCCAUGCCGCGUGUGUGAAGAAGGCCUUCGGGUUGUAAAGCACUUUCAGUUGUGAGGAAGGUGGUGUCGUUAAUAGCGGCAUCAUUUGACGUUAGCAACAGAAGAAGCACCGGCUAACUCCGUGCCAGCAGCCGCGGUAAUACGGAGGGUGCGAGCGUUAAUCGGAAUUACUGGGCGUAAAGCGCAUGCAGGUGGUUUGUUAAGUCAGAUGUGAAAGCCCGGGGCUCAACCUCGGAACUGCAUUUGAAACUGGCAGACUAGAGUACUGUAGAGGGGGUAGAAUUUCAGGUGUAGCGGUGAAAUGCGUAGAGAUCUGAAGGAAUACCGGUGGCGAAGGCGGCCCCCUGGACAGAUACUGACACUCAGAUGCGAAAGCGUGGGAGCAAACAGGAUUAGAUACCCUGGUAGCACAGAG